This 496-nucleotide ribosomal RNA is filed under the name uncultured bacterium. RNAcentral's name for it is "partial 16S ribosomal RNA". It matches the Rfam family "Bacterial small subunit ribosomal RNA", at positions 28 to 523 of the family's 1533-position model. The record is from RNAcentral.
GAUGAACGCUAGCGGCAGGCCUAAUACAUGCAAGUCGAGGGGUAGAAGAGGCUUGCUUCUUUGAGACCGGCGCACGGGUGCGUAACGCGUAUGCAACCUACCUUCAUCUGGGGGAUAACCCGGAGAAAUCCGGAUUAAUACCGCAUAAAAUCACAGGAUGGCAUUAUCCAAUGAUCAAACAUUUAUGGGAUGGAGAUGGGCAUGCGUGUCAUUAGCUAGUUGGCGGGGUAACGGCCCACCAAGGCGACGAUGACUAGGGGAUCUGAGAGGAUGGCCCCCCACACUGGUACUGAGACACGGACCAGACUCCUACGGGAGGCAGCAGUAAGGAAUAUUGGUCAAUAGAGGCAACUCUGAACCAGCCAUGCCGCGUGCAGGAAGACUGCCCUAUGGGUUGUAAACUGCUUUUAUUCGGGAAUAAACCUUAUUACGUGUAAUAAGCUGAAUGUACCGAAGGAAUAAGGAUCGGCUAACUCCGUGCCAGCAGCCGCGGUAA